This 119-nucleotide ribosomal RNA is filed under the name Gigantopelta aegis. Lineage: Eukaryota; Metazoa; Mollusca; Gastropoda; Neomphalida; Peltospiridae. The record is from RNAcentral.
GUCUACGGCCAUACCACGUUGAAAGCACCGGUUCUCGUCCGAUUAUCGAAGUUAAGCAACGUCGGGCCCGGUUAGUACAUGGAUGGGUGACCGCCUGCGAACACCGGUUGCUGUAGAAU